This 485-nucleotide ribosomal RNA is filed under the name uncultured bacterium. RNAcentral describes it as "partial 16S ribosomal RNA". It matches the Rfam family "Bacterial small subunit ribosomal RNA", at positions 30 to 507 of the family's 1533-position model. The record is from RNAcentral.
AUUGAACGCUGGCGGCAUGCCUUACACAUGCAAGUCGAACGGCAGCACGGGUGCUUGCACCUGGUGGCGAGUGGCGAACGGGUGAGUAAUACAUCGGAACAUGCCUGUAGUGGGGGAUAGCCCGGCGAAAGCCGGAUUAAUACCGCAUACGAUCUACGGAUGAAAGCGGGGGACCUUCGGGCCUCGCGCUAUAGGGUUGGCCGAUGGCUGAUUAGCUAGUUGGUGGGGUAAAGGCCUACCAAGGCGACGAUCAGUAGCUGGUCUGAGAGGACGACCAGCCACACUGGGACUGAGACACGGCCCAGACUCCUACGGGAGGCAGCAGUGGGGAAUUUUGGACAAUGGGCGAAAGCCUGAUCCAGCAAUGCCGCGUGUGUGAAGAAGGCCUUCGGGUUGUAAAGCACUUUUGUCCGGAAAGAAAUCCUUGGCCCUAAUACGGUCGGGGGAUGACGGUACCGGAAGAAUAAGCACCGGCUAACUACGUG